GCAGCCUGAUCCAGCAAUGCCGCGUGAGUGAAGAAGGCCUUCGGGUUGUAAAGCUCUUUUGUCAGGGAAGAAACGGUGGAGGCUAAUAUCCUUUGCUAAUGACGGUACCUGAAGAAUAAGCACCGGCUAACUACGUGCCAGCAGCCGCGGUAAUACGUAGGGUGCAAGCGUUAAUCGGAAUUACUGGGCGUAAAGCGUGCGCAGGCGGUUUUGUAAGUCUGAUGUGAAAUCCCCGGGCUCAACCUGGGAAUUGCAUUGGAGACUGCAAGGCUAGAAUCUGGCAGAGGGGGGUAGAAUUCCACGUGUAGCAGUGAAAUGCGUAGAUAUGUGGAGGAACACCGAUGGCGAAGGCAGCCCCCUGGGUCAAGAUUGACGCUCAUGCACGAAAGCGUGGGGAGCAAACAGGAUUAGAUACCCUGGUAGUCCACGCCCUAAACGAUGUCUACUAGUUGUCGGGUCUUAAUUGACUUGGUAACGCAGCUAACGCGUGAAGUAGACCGCCUGGGGAGUACGGUCGCAAGAUUAAAACUCAAAGGAAUUGACGGGGACCCGCACAAGCGGUGGAUGAUGUGGAUUAAUUCGAUGCAACGCGAAAAACCUUACCUACCCUUGACAUGGAUGGAAUCCCGGAGAGAU
Molecule: ribosomal RNA, 636 nt
Filed under: Oxalobacteraceae bacterium Ri1Pw_5614
Lineage: Bacteria; Pseudomonadati; Pseudomonadota; Betaproteobacteria; Burkholderiales; Oxalobacteraceae
Description: bacterial SSU rRNA
Rfam family: Bacterial small subunit ribosomal RNA
Source: RNAcentral